Molecule: non-coding RNA, 167 nt
Organism: Chelonoidis abingdonii (Abingdon island giant tortoise)
Lineage: Eukaryota; Metazoa; Chordata; Testudines; Testudinidae
Source: RefSeq, a predicted model, not a curated record
AGAGGGACCAGACGUGCAACCAGGUUUCUGUCCAAUCUCCCUGAUACAGGUUCUUAUAUAUUCAAAGUAAUAAGUACUAGGUAAAUAAGGUGAGUUAGACUUAUGUUUGUUUUCUCUAUUUGCAAAUGUGUAUUUGGCUGGAAGGAUUUUAAAUUUAUAUUUUGCUG